This 998-nucleotide long non-coding RNA is filed under the name Zostera marina. Its description in RNAcentral is "long non-coding RNA (ZMAR_LNC005932)". Lineage: Eukaryota; Viridiplantae; Streptophyta; Magnoliopsida; Alismatales; Zosteraceae. The record is from RNAcentral.
AAAAUAAUAAGAUGUACACAUAGAUAAUUAUUAUUAAUAAAAUAAUAAUGUGUAUUCGUGUCAAUGAAAAAAUUAGCCAUGUCAAUCGUGUUCGUGUCGUGUUAUACGAAUUGUCAGACCUACUUUAUUGUUGCCUAUAGAACUCACUCAGAAAUAUCUCAAACGGUUAGGGAUGGAUGGGGAGAAGAAAAGUUCUCAAUGAAGGAUUUCCUAGUAGGGGAAAUGAUCCUCGCCGACGUGGGAGAUCUGUUCCAUCUCGUCGGAGUAGGGGAUCUGUUGGAGGGUCGUAUAACUUGCGGUUACUUUCGCGUAGGUAGGAUCGUAGGACCUGUAGGGUUCCGUCCCCUCGUCCAAAAGAUCCCUUCUCGCCAGGGUUAUAUCCUCAUCACAGAUGAUAAGCGAUCGGACUCGGAGCCGAGUCUCUCAUUCCAUUUCCAUCUUGUGCAUGGUCCUCGUCUGUAUGCACUAUCCGAUUCAGACGAUCUGAAUACAUUCAGUUCGACAAGAAAUUAGAUUCGGAUUCAUGAUGUAGUAUAAAAAAUAUGUAUUACAUUGUUGGGCCUGACGACCCGGCCCAUAAAAUUCUUGGGUCUGACGAGCUGGCCCAUUGGGUCGUACGAGCUUCCAGUCUGUUGUGUCGGGUAGCAUCAAUGAGUUUAGAUUUGCAGCACUCGACCACGUGCUCAUUAAUAGUAAUGACGUAGUACGUGGACCCCACCACCAAAAUAUUCUGUCGUUAAAACUACCAAAAGACACAAACAAACCCAUCGUAAAAGAUAAGAAAAGAAGAUGGCCGGAGCAGCAGCUCUAACCGGUGAAGAAGAAGUGAAGUUGUUAGGGUCCUGGGUGAGCCCUUACGUUCUCCGGGCGAAAAUAGCUCUCAAUCUGAAAUCCGUCACCUACGACUACGUUGAAGAAGACUUAAAGAACAAGAGUGAGCUGUUAUUAAAGUCGAACCCGAUCUACAAGAAAGUCCCGGUGCUCCUCCACGCCGGCGC